CAGUCGCCGCGGUAAUACGUAGGUGGCAAGCGUUGUCCGGAAUUAUUGGGCGUAAAGGGCUCGCAGGCGGUUUCUUAAGUCUGAUGUGAAAGCCCCCGGCUCAAUCGGGGAGGGUCAUUGGAAACUGGGAAACUUGAGUGCAGAAGAGGAGAGUGGAAUUCCACGUGUAGCGGUGAAAUGCGUAGAGAUGAGGAGGAACACCAGUGGCGAAGGCGACUCUCUGGUCUGUAACUGACGCUGAGGAGCGAAAGCGUGGGGAGCGAACAGGAUUAGAUACCCCCGUAGUCCCUGUCUCUUAUAC
This 301-nucleotide ribosomal RNA is filed under the name uncultured bacterium. RNAcentral's name for it is "partial 16S ribosomal RNA". It matches the Rfam family "Bacterial small subunit ribosomal RNA", at positions 509 to 807 of the family's 1533-position model. The record is from RNAcentral.